Molecule: ribosomal RNA, 433 nt
Filed under: uncultured bacterium
Lineage: Bacteria
Description: partial 16S ribosomal RNA
Rfam family: Bacterial small subunit ribosomal RNA
Source: RNAcentral
AACGAACGCUGGCGGCAUGCCUAACACAUGCAAGUCGAACGAAGGCUUCGGCCUUAGUGGCGCGCGGGUGCGUAACGCGUGGGAAUCUGCCCUUAGGUUCGGAAUAACAGUUAGAAAUGACUGCUAAUACCGGAUGAUGACGUAAGUCCAAAGAUUUAUCGCCUGAGGAUGAGCCCGCGUAGGAUUAGCUAGUUGGUGUGGUAAAGGCGCACCAAGGCGACGAUCCUUAGCUGGUCUGAGAGGAUGAUCAGCCACACUGGGACUGAGACACGGCCCAGACUCCUACGGUAGGCAGCAGUGGGGAAUAUUGGACAAUGGGCGCAAGCCUGAUCCAGCAAUGCCGCGUGAGUGAUGAAGGCCUUAGGGUUGUAAAGCUCUUUUACCCGUGAUGAUAAUGACAGUAGCGGGAGAAUAAGCCCCGGCUAACUCCGUG